GAUGAACGCUGGCGGCGUGCCUAAUACAUGCAAGUCGAGCGAACAGACGCGUAGCUUGCUCCUCUGACGUUAGCGGCGGACGGGUGAGUAACACGUGGAUAACCUCCUUCUACGACUGGGUUAACUUCGGGAAACCGGAGUUAAUACCGGAUAAUAUAUUGAACCUCUUGGUUCAAUAGUGAAAGACGGUUUUUCUUUCACUUAUAGAUGGAUUCGCGCCGUAUUAGCUAGUUGGUAAGGUAAUGGCUUACCAAGGCGACGAUGCGUAGCCGACCUGAGAGGGGGGUGGACGGCCAUGGAGCGGAGAAGAGGCCGAGAAGACUACGAGAGGAAGCAGUAGGGAAGAAUACGGAAUGGGCGAAGGAAGGAUGAAGCAACGACGCGGGGUGAAUGAAGGUCUUCGGAGCGUAGUAAACUGUUAUUAGGGAAGAACAAAGGUGGAAGUAACUAUGCACGGGUUGACGGUAGCUAAUCAGAAAGCGACGGCUAACUACGUG
RNAcentral lists this ribosomal RNA (497 nucleotides) under uncultured bacterium. RNAcentral's name for it is "partial 16S ribosomal RNA". It matches the Rfam family "Bacterial small subunit ribosomal RNA", at positions 28 to 507 of the family's 1533-position model. The record is from RNAcentral.